CCUACGGGUGGCUGCAGUCGAGAAUUUUUCACAAUGGGCGAAAGCCUGAUGGAGCGACGCCGCGUGGGGGAUGAAGGGCUUCGGCUCGUAAACCCCUGUCAUUUGCGAACAAAGGCGCCAACCUAACACGUUGUCGUCUGAUAGUAGCAGAAGAGGAAGGGACGGCUAACUCUGUGCCAGCAGCCGCGGUAAUACAGAGGUCCCAAGCGUUGUUCGGAUUCACUGGGCGUAAAGGGUGCGUAGGUGGUGAAUUAAGUCGGGUGUGAAAUCUCCGG
Molecule: ribosomal RNA, 275 nt
Filed under: uncultured bacterium
Lineage: Bacteria
Description: partial 16S ribosomal RNA
Rfam family: Bacterial small subunit ribosomal RNA
Source: RNAcentral